RNAcentral lists this long non-coding RNA (1422 nucleotides) under Apteryx haastii (Great spotted kiwi). Its description in RNAcentral is "lncRNA (ENSAHAG00000013963.1)". The record is from RNAcentral. Lineage: Eukaryota; Metazoa; Chordata; Aves; Apterygiformes; Apterygidae.
AUGCACCCACAAGUGCUGAGGGAGCUGGCAGAUGUCAUUGCUAAGCCACUCUCCAUCAUCUUUGAAAGGUCAUGGAGRACAGGAGAGGUGCCUGAGGACUGGAAGAAAGCCARUGUCACCCCAGUCUUCAAAAAGGGCAAGAAGGAGGACCCAGGGAACUACAGGCCAGUCAGCCUCACCUGCAUCCCUGGAAAGGUGAUGGAGCAGCUCAUCCUGGAGGCCAUCUCCAAGCAUGUGGAGGAAAAGAAGGUGAUCAGGAGUAGUCAGCAUGGCUUCACCAAGGGGAAAUCAUGCCUAACCAAUCUGAUAGCCUUCUAUGAUGGAAUGACUGGCUGGGUAGAUGAGGGGAGAGCAGUGGAUGUUGUCUGCCUAGACUUCAGCAAGGCUUUUGACACUGUCUCCCAUAACAUCCUCAGAGACAAGCUCAGGAAGUGUGGGCUAGAUGAGUGGACAGUGAGGUGGAUUGAGAAGUGGCUGAAUGGCAGAGCUCAGAGAGUUGUGAUCAGUGGCGCAGAGUCUAGUUGGAGGCCUGUAGCUAGCGGUGUCCCCCAGGGGUCAGUACUGGGUCCAGUCUUGUUCAACUUCUUCAUCAGUGACCUGAAUGAAGGGACAGAGUGCCCCCUCAGCAAGUUUGCUGACGAUACAAAACUGGGAGGAGUGGCGGAUACACCAGAGGGCUGUGCUGCCAUUCAGAGAGACCUGGACAGGCUGGAGAGGAACCUCAUGAAGUUCAACAAAGGCAAGUGCAGGGUCCUGCACCUGGGGAGGAAUAACCCCAUGCAGCAGUACAGGUUGGGGGUUGACCUGCUGGAAAGCAGCUCUGCGGAGAAGGACCUGGGAGUGCUGCUGGACACCAAGUUAAGCAUGAGGCAGCAAUGUGCCCUUGUGGCCAAGAAGGCCAAUGGUAUCCUGGGGUGCAUCAGGAAGAGUGUUGCCAGCAGGUGGAGGGAGGUGAUUCUCCCCCUCUACUCAGCCCUGGUGAGGCCACAUCUGGAGUACUGCGUCCAGUUCUGGGCUCCCCAGUACAAGAGGGAUGUGGCACUCCUGGAGCAAGUGCAGCGAAGGGCUACUAAGAUGAUUAGGGGACUGGAGCAUCUCUCUUAUGAGGACAGGCUGAGAGAGCUGGGCCUGUUUAGCCUGGAGAAGAGAAGGCUGAGAGGAGAUCUUAUCAAUGUGUACAAGUAUCUGAAGGGAGGGUGUCGAGAGGAUGGGACCAGACUCUUUUCAGUGGUGCCGAGCGACAGGACGCGAGGCAACGGGCACAAACUGAAACACAGGAAGUUCCAUCUGAACAUGAGGAAAAACUUCUUCACUGUGAGGGUGGCAGAGCACUGGAAGAGGUUGCCCAGAGAGGUUGUGGAGUCUCCUUCUCUGGAGAUAUUCAAAACCUGCCUGGACGCAAUCCUGUGCAAUGUGCUCUAG